ACACAGGGAGGUAGUGACAAAAAAUAACAAUACCGGGCUUUUAUAAGUCUGGUAAUUGGAAUGAGUACAAUUUAAAUCCCUUAACGAGGAACAAUUGGAGGGCAAGUCUGGUGCCAGCAGCCGCGGUAAUUCCAGCUCCAAUAGCGUAUAUUAAAGUUGUUGCAGUUGAAAAGCUCGUAGUUGGAUUUCUGGUAUGGUGCGCCUGGUCCACGGUUGCAAAACCGCGAGUAUCGGUGUGCGCCUGCCAUCUUUCUAGUUAACUGGACGCACUUAACUGGGCGGUCAGCGAUCUAGUUCUUUUACUUUGAAAUAAUUAGAGUGUUUAAAGCAGGCUUGCGCUAUGAAUACAUUAGCAUGGAAUAAUAAUUUAGGACUUUGCUUCUAUUUUAUUGGUUUCUAGGAGUUAAGUAAUGAUUGAUAGGGAUAGUUGGGGGUGCUAGUAUUCAUCGGCCAGAGGUGAAAUUCUUGGAUUCGAUGAAGACUAACUAAUGCGAAAGCAUUCACCAAGGAUGUCUUCUUUAAUCAAGAACGAAAGUUGGGGGAUCGAAGACGAUCAGAUACCGUCGUAGUCUCAACCAUAAACUAUACCGACUAGGGAUAAGGGGAAGUUGCUUUUUCGACUUCCUUUGCACCUUAUGAGAAAUCACAAGUCUUUGGGUUCUGGGGGGAGUAUGGUCGCAAGGCUGAAACUUAAAGGAAUUGACGGAAGGGCACCACCAGGAGUGGAGCCUGCGGCUUAAUUUGACCCAACACGGGGAAACUUACCAGGUCCGGACAUAGUGAGGAUUGACAGAUUGAAGUUCUUUCUUGAUUCUAUGGGUGGUGGUGCAUGGCCGUUCUUAGUUGGUGGAGUGAUUUGUCUGCUUAAUUGCGUUAACGAACGAGACCUCGACCUGCUAAAUAGUUCAACGUAGGCCUUGCCUAUGUGUGUACUUCUUAGAGGGACUGUUGGUUCAAAGCCAAAGGAAGUUCGAGGCAAUAACAGGUCUGUGAUGCCCUUAGAUGUCCUGGGCCGCACGCGCGCUACACUGAUACGUGCAUCGAGCUUACAACCUUGGCUGGGAGGCCUGGGUAAUCUUUUCAACGCGUAUCGUGCUGGGGAUAGAUUAUUGUAAUUAUUAAUCUUCAACGAGGAAUUCCUAGUAAGCGCGAGUCAUCAACUCGCACUGAUUACGUCCCUGCCCUUUGUACACACCGCCCGUCGCUGCUACCGAUUGAAAGCAUUAGUGAGCCUUGAGGAUCGUCUUUUCUGAGGGUAAAACUUCGGUCUAGAUGAGAAUCAAUACAAACUUGCGCAUUUAGAGGAAGCAAAAGUCGUAACAAGGU
This 1326-nucleotide ribosomal RNA is filed under the name metagenome. RNAcentral describes it as "SSU rRNA". It matches the Rfam family "Eukaryotic small subunit ribosomal RNA", at positions 454 to 1800 of the family's 1831-position model. The record is from RNAcentral.